AGGCCAGCAGUGUGUAUGAGAUCCACUGUGAUCGCACCCGGCACACGCUCACCAUCCGGGAGGUGCCCGCCAGCCUGCACGGGGCGCAGCUGAAGUUCGUGGCCAACGGCAUUGAGAGCAGCAUCCGGAUGGAGGUCCAGGCGGCCCCAGGGCUGACUGCCAACAAGCCGCCAGCCGCAGCUGCCCGGGAGGUGCUGGCUCGGCUGCACGAGGAGGCGCAGCUGCUGGCUGAGCUGUCAGAUCAGGCUGCGGCUGUGACAUGGCUGAAGGAUGGUCGCACACUGUCCCCAGGCCCCAAGUAUGAGGUGCAGGCAUCGGCCGGGCGGUGGGUGCUCCUUGUGCGAGAUGUGGCCCGGGACGAUGCAGGCCUCUACGAGUGCGUCAGCCGCGGGGGCCGCAUCGCCUACCAGCUGUCCGUGCAAGGCCUCGCGUGCUUUCUGCACAAGGACAUGGCGGGCAGCUGUGUGGAUGCCGUGGCUGGGGGCCCAGCGCAGUUUGAGUGUGAGACCUCCGAAGCCCACGUCCACGUGCACUGGUACAAGGAUGGCAUGGAGCUGGGCCACUCUGGUGAGCGCUUCUUGCAGGAGGAUGUGGGGACGCGGCACCGGCUGGUGGCAGCCACAGUCACCAGGCAGGAUGAGGGCACCUACUCCUGCCGCGUGGGCGAGGACUCUGUGGACUUCCAGCUCCGCGUCUCUGCAAAUGGUUGACAGUGUCAACUGAAAAAAAAA
RNAcentral lists this small RNA (731 nucleotides) under Pan troglodytes (chimpanzee). Its description in RNAcentral is "processed transcript". Lineage: Eukaryota; Metazoa; Chordata; Mammalia; Primates; Hominidae. The record is from RNAcentral.